Long non-coding RNA from Cyprinus carpio (common carp), 1478 nucleotides. The record is from Ensembl. NCBI's taxonomy places the organism in Eukaryota, Metazoa, Chordata, Actinopteri, Cypriniformes, Cyprinidae.
GUGUGUGUGUGUGUGUGUGUGUGUGUGUGUGUGUGUGUGACAGUUCUCCUUCAGUAGCAUGGCCUGAAAAUCAUUAACAAAAGGAAGUUACACAGCAUCCUGAGGGAGUUUUUAUUGCUCUUUUGUAGCUCGGAAGAUCUCAAUUAUCUCACAUUGGAGUAUCAACUUUAUCUCAGAUGAUUCUCCUGAACUUUCUAAAACCAACUUGUCAUACAGUACGAGUAUAAAGCUGUAAAAUGAACGUGGAGCAGCUCAAUGUAUCUUAUUUGAGACACUGACACAUUACUGCAUGUUUUUCUCAGAAGCAAAAGCAUAAAGUUUCCAUUUUGAGUAUUUAUUUACAUUGCAAUCUCAUUGCAGUCUAGAAAAAAACAUUAUAAAUAUAUUAAAAAGUUUUUUUGGUAACUCUGUGCUGCCAGUAAGCCUUUAAAAAUAAGCUUAUGUAGUAAUUCAUUCAAGCUAAGCAGUGAUUUAUUAUGUUUCCAACUGUCUGGAUUUGAUCAGAUAGUAUUUCAAGCAUUGCUUUCACGGUCAGAGUGUUUUCAGCAGUUUAUGACAACUGUAAAACUUUAUAAAAGCUUUGAUUUGUUAAAUGUGAACAACUAUGUUUGACAUAAAGCCGUCGUCUAAAUAUACCAGUGUGACUUCUUCAUGUGAAGAUAAAACAGCGCCUGUACAAAAGAAAAGCACAAAUUAGACUUCUUUUAUAUCUCAGUUGUGUUUGCUUACAUUUAUCCCAUGGACAUUUGGGAGAGAGAGCUGAGUAUCCUUUUAUGGAAAAGUAUCAUAUCUUUUAACAUGCAUUCACAAAUAAAGACAAAUAUAGCUGAAACAUUGACCUUGUUUGUUUGUCAGCAGGAUUUUUCCUUGGAGCCUUCAUGCUGUAAUUAAUUAGUUUAAUGUUAACGUUCUUCCAUAAUUUUUGGACAGUUUUCUGUGAAUUAAGGGUAUAGAAAAACAACUUGCAUGACAGUGGUUAUAAUUCCUUCAUUUAUUGUCUAGCCAAGGCAAAGAAGGCGGCUGAGAAGGAAGCCAAAGCUAAGAAACCGAAGCCCACCAAAAAACCCAAACCCCCAAAACCAACAAAGAAACCCAAGCCCCCGAAGCCCACCAAGAAACCCAAGCCUCCAAAACCCACCAAAAAGCCGAAAGCACCGAAGCCCACCACAACAACAACGACUAGAGCAACUAAACCAACCAGAAAGCCAACCAUGGAGGAAGAGGAGGAGAAACUGCUGCUGGAGCUGGGAUGGGACACGUUAUUUCCAACAGAGCCAAAGGAAACAGAGAUUGAGAAACCCAUUGGCCCAGAUCAUGACGUCCACAGCAAGAAAGGCGAAAUUACACCACCUACAAUCAAAGAGCACGAUCCGGAUUACUGGGACGCCCGACGUACGUUUGUAGCCACAAACACACACUCCUAAAAAGGUUGUUUAUUGGCAUCUUUGGCUUCAUGAGGAACAGUUUUUAGACUUUAA